UACGAAGGGGGGCUAGCGUUGCUCGGAAUUACUGGGCGUAAAGGGAGCGUAGGCGGGUUAUCAAGUUGGAGGUGAAAGCCCAGGGCUCAACCUUGGAAUUGCCUUCAAAACUGAUAGCCUAGAGUAUGAUAGAGGUAUGUGGAACUCCGAGUGUAGAGGUGAAAUUCGUAGAUAUUCGGAAGAACACCAGUGGCGAAGGCGACAUACUGGGUACAUGACUGACGCUGAGGCUCGAAAGCGUGGGGAGCA
This 249-nucleotide ribosomal RNA is filed under the name uncultured bacterium. RNAcentral describes it as "partial 16S ribosomal RNA". It matches the Rfam family "Bacterial small subunit ribosomal RNA", at positions 524 to 770 of the family's 1533-position model. The record is from RNAcentral.